GGUUUUAGCCUAUGAUGUUCUUAUUCAAAAUGUCUGAACCUGUCUGAAACAUCCCAGUAAAGCAAGCUGUUGUGAAAAAAAAAAGAAAUAAAGGUUUUAGUUCUA
This is a small nucleolar RNA of Apodemus sylvaticus (European woodmouse), 105 nucleotides long. RefSeq annotates it as small nucleolar RNA SNORD91 family. Lineage: Eukaryota; Metazoa; Chordata; Mammalia; Rodentia; Muridae. The transcript has a single exon. The record is from RefSeq and is a predicted model, not a curated record.